Armigeres subalbatus is the source of this 724-nucleotide long non-coding RNA. RefSeq lists it as uncharacterized. The record is from RefSeq and is a predicted model, not a curated record. NCBI's taxonomy places the organism in Eukaryota, Metazoa, Arthropoda, Insecta, Diptera, Culicidae. The transcript has 3 exons.
GAUUGAGAUUAAUCACCUCUCAAUUACGUCAUUAAAGCAUAAAAUUUACCAUAUUUUUCAACAAUUUACUACAUUCAAAAUGCUGCACAUCAUGCUGGUUCACAAUAAUAUAUAAUAUUACAGAAAUCAACGUAAUAUCGCUUCAAAAAAACUGCAACUACUCGUCAACAACACAGGAGCCAACUGACAGCCAUUUUCACUUUUUCGUUUGCGCUGAACGACGGUGAUCGGCAAUCAUCAAUUUACUUCCAAAGCUAUAUUUAUUUAUGAAAAUGUGAAGUUAAAUUAGUGCUGUGUUCAUAGCUCUUGCUGACAAAUAAAGCUCUUGCUCAUCGUGCUCAUCUAAUACUCAUCAUGAGGGCGAGGAAAACAAUUCCGCAGGUAAAAUAAUGGAGUUUGUGAGUUCGUUGCUUUCCUGCCUUACCCGUUCGUCGAUAAGAAAAAAAUAUGGUUCCGCAGGUACUCUUCCGGAAUCGGAAGCACACACAACAAAGGAAGCAAGCGAUUGGAUAAUUAUUAAACAGCAAAACAUGAGUAACUGUUGUACGGAGCUGUCGACAUGUCAAAGGCUGAUUAAAGAUCACAGAAAGCGGUAAGAAGAGCAACCAUUUAAGCAGCAUCUUUACUCCCGUCCUGAAUUAUUAGUUACAAGUUACGAAUUACCUAUUUUCUAUAGGUGUUCAGUGAUAAUUUGUAAAUAAUUAGGCCAUUUGCUUAGGAUGCG